This 253-nucleotide ribosomal RNA is filed under the name uncultured bacterium. Its description in RNAcentral is "partial 16S ribosomal RNA". It matches the Rfam family "Bacterial small subunit ribosomal RNA", at positions 524 to 776 of the family's 1533-position model. The record is from RNAcentral.
UACAGAGGUCCCAAGCGUUGUUCGGAUUCACUGGGCGUAAAGGGUGCGUAGGCGGUCGGAUAAGUCUGACGUGAAAUCUCCGGGCCUAACCCGGAAACUGCGUUGGAAACUAUCUGGCUAGAGGAAUGGAGGGGAGACUGGAAUACUUGGUGUAGCAGUGAAAUGCGUAGAUAUCAAGUGGAGCACCAGUGGCGAAGGCGGCUACCUGGACCAGCACUGACACUGAGGCACGAAAGCGUGGGGAGCAAACAGG